GUUAUAUGGUCAAGUGAAGAAGCGCAUACGGUGGAUGCCUUGGCAGUCAGAGGCGAUGAAAGACGUGGUAGCCUGCGAUAAGCUUCGGGGAGUCGGCAAACAGACUUUGAUCCGGAGAUCUCUGAAUGGGGGAACCCACCUGGCAUAAGUCAGGUAUCUUGUACUGAAUACAUAGGUGCAAGAGGCGAACCAGGGGAACUGAAACAUCUAAGUACCCUGAGGAAAAGAAAUCAACCGAGAUUCCCUUAGUAGUGGCGAGCGAACGGGG
This 268-nucleotide ribosomal RNA is filed under the name Pseudomonas putida. Its description in RNAcentral is "partial 23S ribosomal RNA". It matches the Rfam family "Bacterial large subunit ribosomal RNA", at positions 1 to 262 of the family's 2925-position model. The record is from RNAcentral. Lineage: Bacteria; Pseudomonadati; Pseudomonadota; Gammaproteobacteria; Pseudomonadales; Pseudomonadaceae.